RNAcentral lists this ribosomal RNA (537 nucleotides) under uncultured bacterium. RNAcentral's name for it is "bacterial SSU rRNA". It matches the Rfam family "Bacterial small subunit ribosomal RNA", at positions 772 to 1306 of the family's 1533-position model. The record is from RNAcentral.
ACUCAAUAGAUACCCGGGUAGUCCACGCCCUAAACGAUGUCUACUAGUUGUUGGUGGAGUAAAAUCCAUGAGUAAACGCAGCUAAACGCGUGAAGUAGACCGCCUGGGGAGUACGGUCGCAAGAUUAAGACUCAAAGGAAUUGACGGGGGCCCGCACAAGCGGUGGAUUAUGUGGAUUAAUUCGAUGCAACGCGAAAAACCUUACCUGGCCUUGACAUGCCACUAACGAAGCAGAGAUGCAUUAGGUGCCCGUAAGGGAAAGUGGACACAGGUGCUGCAUGGCUGUCGUCAGCUCGUGUCGUGAGAUGUUGGGUUAAGUCCCGCAACGAGCGCAACCCUUGCCAUUAAUUGCCAUCAUUUAGUUGGGCACUUUAAUGGGACUGCCGGUGACAAACCGGAGGAAGGUGGGGAUGACGUCAAGUCCUCAUGGCCCUUAUGGCCAGGGCUUCACACGUAAUACAAUGGUCGGUACAGAGAGUUGCCAACCCGCGAGGGGAGCUAAUCUCAGAAAGCCGAUCGUAGUCCGGAUUGUUCUCU